UUAUUAGUUCAAUUUUUAUACAAAGUGUACUUCGAAGUGAUACAAAGUGUUACCAUUUCUUAUACACACUAGAGAUUGAGAUCUGUUAAACGCUGGUUUAUCCUUGUGCAUAUAAAGGUAGAAAAUGUAAAUAGACUGGCAGCGACCCAUAAUGCUGGAAGACAGUUCAGUGUUUACUCAGUUAAUAAAAGUUGCAUAGAAUUGUAGGUCUUUAUAAAGGCAUCUUCUACGUGGUAAAAUCUCCCUGACCUACCGUACUCCAUCUGACACCAGUACGGGAGAAAGGCCAGGCUAGUACUGCUCCUUGUCAGUACUGCCCAGCACUUCUGAGGAAAGCGGCUGGAGAGCACCAUGCCAGAAACAUCCAAGAGGACAGCACAUGGGAAAUUCCAUUUGCAAGGCUACCAAUUUCUAUAAAUUGUAGGAACUGUUUGCGACUGGGGUCUGUUAAUACAUUACUUCAUACAAACACCUAAGAACAUUUCAGAUAAAACCACUUUUGGCCAGUCAAAAUACAUCACUAUAGCAGGUAUUUUGCUUGACUGUGCAAUUCCCUCCCUUUCUAUGCUGACAAGAAACUCUUGUUUCACAAGAGUUCCACAUCCCUUUCUUAACCACUUGCCCUGUCUGAGUUUUGUUUCUGAAUCUCCCAUGCUUGGUACUGUGACACUGACAUUUGGAUAAAGAUUUGAUCUCUGUUUAAUUCUAAUGCCAUGUUAACUCCCUGCCACAUACUGGCAGCUCACACUGCUGAGCUGUCUGGUGGCACAAGCUGGUGCAGCCACAUCUCUGCUUUUGGGCUGAAGGAACAGUCACACCACACUUGUUCUCUCUUUCAUCUCCUUCUUCCAGCUGCAAAGAGCCAGAAGCAGCAACUCAAAAUACAACAAUUUGCAGUUACUGGUCCACUUGGAGCAGCAGUUCCACUUGUGAGGAAAUGGAACUGAUUAACGUGUGAUUUAGUAUGAGAAUAGUAAUAUCAGUAAUUCCGUGCUAGAAUCCUCCUGUAAAGCACUUUUAGCAGUGCCUCAUAUAAUACUAAAGUAUGAUCAUGAUUAGGGAAGUAGCAUUUCCAAGUGAAUGUCUUUAACUUAAGUCUAUUACAAUAUAUAUGGAGUCUUAGUUUUUGUGAUUAACAGACUAUUUGAAAGAAAGAAAAAAAUCCCUUGCUGCUGCCAACUGCUAUUAAGAGCUGCAUAAUACAUGAGACUGGAAAAGCAAGAAGUAGAUGAAAUAUUAACAUAAUGGGCUAUUUAAUGUAAUUGUAAGACAGGUCAAAUGAUGAUGAUACUUCAGCAAUGCCACCCUGUGAGAGGCUCAUUAGCAGAGGAAAAUCUGAAGUGCAGAACCGUUAUCAACCCAGAGAAAUGGCAUAAAGCUUAAAGUCACCAGAGGGACCUGAUGCCAUUAGCUACUUGUGUGCCUAUUUAAAACAUCUCUGAAAGUGCUUCUUUGCAGCUAAAGGAAACCAAACUGACAGCCCAUUCCAGCAGCUGGUGGGCCCAAAGCAUUGCCACAUUUCCACAGUGGAAGUUUGGACUGUCAGAGCUGGACUGCACAGCAGAAAGUCCUUCCUCACCACCCAGAACACGUUUUCUCAUGCAGUUUCAUGUCCAUCACUUAGGGGAAAGACAGCAGACCAAAUGCUAAGUAAACAUUAAAUAAACCCUAUUUUCCACGCUAGGAGGAAUUUAGUCAUAAAUGUGUGGGUGAAGGUUCUAAAGCAGACAAAUGCAGAGAUCCCAUUAUAAGGAACACACAGAGCUAACAACUUGCUUUCUUCUGUGGUCAGAACAGAAAAGACUGGGUUACUGCCCUCUGAGGAAAGAUGAUCCAUCAAGUUCUAAAGCAUUUUGAUGUCAUUUUCUUUUUUACAUUAGGCAAAGUAGAUAAAGUCACAUCACAACCACACAGAUACAGAACACAGAAAAGCACUAACUGAAUCUAAUAGCAUGAAAUCUGGUGUUGCCAAAAAGCGUGAAAAUUGGUGUGAAUGCUGCAAUAAUGUCAUGCAGAGCACAGAUACUCACAGCUUGCUUGUUUAAAACACGAGAUUGACAGCAUUCUUACAUUCUACCUAUUGCUUUAAUACACACACUGAUGUAAGUGAACUGACCACUGAAUAUUCAGUGUGAAUGAAGUCUUCUGAAAUUACAGCUACUGGUUUACUGGUUUAGAUUAUUAAAUAUGGCUGCUUAAGAGAUGUGUUACAGCAUGAAUCGGUGAGUUUGCUAGUGUCCCAAAUACUCUGAAUUACUUUGAAUGUGGGAGUUUUUCCCUGAAAAAAACCCCUGCUUUUACAGAAGAGCUAUUUAUGUCAAUUUUUAAAUACACAAGACCAGUUUUUAAAUAUGUAAGACCUGAAUAUGUGCACAUCUGCCUCAGUGGUACUAAAGAAACUGCAAGUUAGGAGGGUUUAUUAAUGCCUGAAAUUCAGAUACCUCUAACCACAAAUCUCCAUAGUAGACUAUGUGCUAAAGAAGAGUGCUGCCUCUCUCUUUGGUUAUGAUAUAUGCUAUAAAAGCAUUGCUCUGAGUGACAGUAAUGCAGUUGCUUCCUGAACUACAAAAUUAACAUAUUCUGGUUGUUGAACCUGCACACAUAUUCCUGAGCCUUCAAAACUGAUUUAACACAUUCAGUGAACAGAAGGCCAGAUGUCUCUAUAGUUAGUCCACUGAUGAGCUGAGAAUAUGGCUUAGUUAUACCACUAUAAACAACAUGAACAGACUGUGUAAAAAGUUUGGAGAAAGUCUUUGAACAGAUUUCUCAUGCAGUGCUUACAGAUAAAUGCCUCAUUAUUUUGUGGGUCUGUUAAAAAAUCCUAUUGCAAACUUUGAAUCAUAAAAUCAUCAAGGGCGAAAGAGACCAAGUUCAACUGUCAACCCAGAAAUACCCCUGCAACU
Molecule: long non-coding RNA, 2903 nt
Organism: Ficedula albicollis (Collared flycatcher)
Lineage: Eukaryota; Metazoa; Chordata; Aves; Passeriformes; Muscicapidae
Exons: 2
Source: RefSeq, a predicted model, not a curated record